UACCUGCAGCUCAAGUGGUGGCCGCUAUUAUUGGGCCUAAAACGUUCGUAGCCGGUUUGGUAAAUGCCUGGGUAAAUUGUGUAGCUUAACUAUACAAAUUCCGGGUAGACUGCCAAACUUGAGACCGGGAGAAGCUAGAGGUACUCCUGGGGUAGAGGUGAAAUUCUGUAAUCCUGGGGGGACCACCAGUGGCGAAGGCGUCUAGCUAGAACGAGUUUGACGGUGAGGAACGAAGCCCUGGGGCGCAAACCGGAUUAGAUACCCGGGUAGUCCAGGGUGUAAACGCUGCUUGCUUGAUGUUAGUUGGGCCCCGAGCCCAAUUAGUGUCGGAGAGAAGUUGUUAAGCAAGCUGCCUGGGAAGUACGAUCGCAAGAUUGAAACUUAAAGGAAUUGGCGGGGGAGCACAGCAACGGGUGGAGCGUGCGGUUU
Molecule: ribosomal RNA, 429 nt
Filed under: uncultured archaeon
Lineage: Archaea
Description: bacterial SSU rRNA
Rfam family: Archaeal small subunit ribosomal RNA
Source: RNAcentral